Molecule: ribosomal RNA, 266 nt
Filed under: uncultured Staphylococcus sp.
Lineage: Bacteria; Bacillati; Bacillota; Bacilli; Caryophanales; Staphylococcaceae
Description: partial 16S ribosomal RNA
Rfam family: Bacterial small subunit ribosomal RNA
Source: RNAcentral
CGGCGGACGGGUGAGUAACACGUGGAUAACCUACCUAUAAGACUGGGAUAACUUCGGGAAACCGGAGCUAAUACCGGAUAAUAUAUUGAACCGCAUGGUUCAAUAGUGAAAGACGGUUUUGCUGUCACUUAUAUAUGGAUCCGCGCCGCAUUAGCUAGUUGGUAAGGUAACGGCUUACCAAGGCAACGAUGCGUAGCCGACCUGAGAGGGUGAUCGGCCACACUGGAACUGAGACACGGUCCAGACUCCUACGGGAGGCAGCAGAC